GGGCAUAUAGCUCAGUGGUAGAGUGACUGCUUAGCAUGCACCAGGUCCUGGGUUCAAUCCCCAGUACCUCCA
RNAcentral lists this transfer RNA (72 nucleotides) under Camelus bactrianus (Bactrian camel). It matches the Rfam family "tRNA". From Rfam's summary of the family: Transfer RNA (tRNA) molecules are approximately 80 nucleotides in length. Lineage: Eukaryota; Metazoa; Chordata; Mammalia; Artiodactyla; Camelidae. RNAcentral also lists the same sequence under 2 other names. The record is from Rfam by way of RNAcentral.